RNAcentral lists this ribosomal RNA (390 nucleotides) under uncultured Methanosaeta sp. RNAcentral's name for it is "bacterial SSU rRNA". It matches the Rfam family "Archaeal small subunit ribosomal RNA", at positions 948 to 1338 of the family's 1478-position model. Lineage: Archaea; Methanobacteriati; Methanobacteriota; Methanomicrobia; Methanotrichales; Methanotrichaceae. The record is from RNAcentral.
UGAAGGUCAGGCUGAAGACUUACCCGAUUAGCUGAGAGGUGGUGCAUGGCCGUCGUCAGUUCGUACUGUGAAGCAUCCUGUUAAGUCAGGCAACGAGCGAGACCCACGUCCACAGUUGCCAGCAUACCCUCCGGGGUGAUGGGUACACUGUGGAGACCGCCGCUGCUAAAGCGGAGGAAGGAGUGGGCAACGGUAGGUCAGUAUGCCCCGAAUCUCCCGGGCUACACGCGGGCUACAAUGGUUGGUACAAUGGGCAUCUACCCCGAAAGGGGAAGGAAAUCUCUUAAAGCCAAUCGUAGUUCGGAUUGAGGGCUGCAACUCGCCCUCAUGAAGCUGGAAUCCGUAGUAAUCGCGUUUCAACAGAACGCGGUGAAUACGUCCCUGCUCCUU